Cervus elaphus (red deer) is the source of this 420-nucleotide long non-coding RNA. RefSeq lists it as uncharacterized. Lineage: Eukaryota; Metazoa; Chordata; Mammalia; Artiodactyla; Cervidae. The record is from RefSeq and is a predicted model, not a curated record. The transcript is spliced from 3 exons.
UUUACUUAGAGCCUUGUUACUUAAAUUUCUAAAAAAUAUUUUCUGAGCAAUUGUAGAACAUUUCUAAGUUUGUAGUCAAAGCAAACAUUAAAAAAUUUUAAAUGAAGCUCACUUUUGUCUCUAUCUCAACAGCACCUGGAUGAUUGAUGACUAAGAGCAAUGAUGGGGAGUCUAAAUUGCAGCUAGUUUUCGUUGUGUAAUCGUUGUGAUUAAAAUAUCCAUUUUAGUCAGAGCACACGGGUUUGUGGUUUUGAUGGUGUUUUCAUGAUGGUUAUGCAAAGAUAAACACACAUAUAAGUAGUCCACCUUCAGGUCUGAUAGUGUAUAACCCAGGCAGAGACGUUCCACAGCCAACAGCUGCAUUUAGUGCUCAGAGGCAACAAUAGAAAUGUACUCAUUCAAGUUCUGUGCCAGGUGUGC